This 433-nucleotide ribosomal RNA is filed under the name uncultured bacterium. RNAcentral's name for it is "partial 16S ribosomal RNA". It matches the Rfam family "Bacterial small subunit ribosomal RNA", at positions 29 to 507 of the family's 1533-position model. The record is from RNAcentral.
AACGAACGCUGGCGGCAUGCCUAACACAUGCAAGUCGAACGAGACCUUCGGGUCUUGUGGCGCACGGGUGCGUAACGCGUGGGAACUUGCCCUUAGGUUCGGAAUAACUCCCCGAAAGGGGUGCUAAUACCGGAUAAUGUCUUCGGACCAAAGAUUUAUCGCCUUGGGAUGGGCCCGCGUUGGAUUGGCGAGUUGGUAGGGUAUAAGCCUACCAAGGCGAGGAUCCAUAGCUGGUCUGUUAGGAUGCCCAGCCACACUGGGACUGAGACACGGCCCAGACUCGUACGGGAGGGUGCAGUGUGGAAUACAAGGCGAUGAGGGAAGGCCUAGUACAGCAAUGUCGGGGAAGUGAGGCAGGCCGUAGGGUUGUAAAGCUCUUUUACCCGGGAUGAUAAUGACAGUACCGGGUGAAUAAGCACCGGCUAACUCCGUG